Molecule: transfer RNA, 62 nt
Filed under: Bothriocroton concolor (echidna tick)
Lineage: Eukaryota; Metazoa; Arthropoda; Arachnida; Ixodida; Ixodidae
Description: tRNA-Tyr
Rfam family: tRNA
About the family: Transfer RNA (tRNA) molecules are approximately 80 nucleotides in length.
Source: RNAcentral
GGUAAAAUGGCUGAUUGAAGGCGAUAAAUUGUAAAUUUAUUUAUGGUUAAUUCCUUUUAUCA